Molecule: long non-coding RNA, 1682 nt
Filed under: Apteryx haastii (Great spotted kiwi)
Lineage: Eukaryota; Metazoa; Chordata; Aves; Apterygiformes; Apterygidae
Description: lncRNA (ENSAHAG00000013587.1)
Source: RNAcentral
NNNNNNNNNNGAAUUGCGGGCCCGGGAGAAUUGCGGGCCCGGGCCAUGGCAAAUGCCUCUCGCCAGCUGGCCGGGGUCCAGGAGAGCAGGCAGGGCGCCGGUGCGGCCCGCUCCCCGCUGGCACGCGCAGCCCUGUGCUCCCUGCUCUUUGCCCUCCUCCAAGAGGCCGCCUGCUCCGAACGCCGUCAUGCGGCUCCUGCCUGGGCACCUCGGCCAGGAACACCCGCGACUGCGGCCGGGGCAGCCCCGCCGGGAGCGAACACCCCUGCGGGCCGAGCGUGGCACCUGGGGGAGAGACCUGUCCCCUGGGAUACCCGUAGGGAGCAGCCAGGCUGGAGCCCUGCACCAGGGGACGGUGAUGGGAAAAGCAGCUCCCAGCUGGGAUCAGAGACUCCCGCUGCGACUCCCUGCUCAGCCAGCACGAACCCAACAGCAACAGGCACCUCGGGUCGCUGGGUUCACCCCCGUGACGAGGACAGCGGCCGUGUCCUCCCAGUGCCGCCUGCCUGGGCUGCCCGGGAAGCUCCCACAUCCCGGGAGCAGCCUGGCAGCGAGGCUGGGGCUGGCCCCAAAGCCUGUCACCCACGGCUGGCCGGGAGGCCUCGCGGGGCAGCGCAGGGCGAAGGCGAGCGCCGCGGUGUCGAUGCUCGGCAGCAGCUGAGGGGCAUCACGGGGCGGCUGUGCCUGCUCCGGGCUAUUUUUUCCCCUCAGCUGCUGCGGCAGGAGCCUGAGGCUGAGGAGGGGAGCCCGGCUCAGAGCAAACAGCGUCCGAGCGGCGAGUGCCUGGCGGGAGGGAUGGGGGAGCAGGGCCGGAGGGGGAGCAGGGCCUGGGGACCUUCCCCGUGGGGAACGGAGGCAGAAACGGCGGAGGGAGAGGAUCCCGCGAGCCCCAGCCUGCUCCAAGCCAGCRCUGCCUCCCACGCCAUGACUGUGGCUGCAGCUGGCAAGAGGCAGGUCCCGGCAGGCUGUGGCCCUGCCAGCUGGGAAACGCGUCCCCGGAGCAAAGCAGCAGGGCAGCCGUGGUGGGAGCUGCACCAGGUUGCAGGGCUGCAGGGAUGGGGGCUCAUGCAGCUGCUGGUGACCCGGACUGAGCAGCAGCACUUGGGGGGGUCCUGGACACCCCUGGGGUGCCAAGUGCUCCCCCUUCCAGCCCAUCUCGCCUGGACCCAGCUUGGGAAUCGGGGGAUGGUACGGGCACAGCCUGCCUCGCGUCUCUCCCAGCCUGGAGACCCUGUCCAAGCCCAGGAGCCAGCACUUCACUGAAGCAUCCUUCAGGAAGGGCCCCGCGCCUGGAGCCGAAGCCAUGGAGGAAGGACUUUUGUUGCAGUGUUUAACCCCACGUGCUGCCCGCAGGACCAGGGCCUCGCUGCCCRUUUGAAACGGGCUCCCCAUCCCCGACCUCGGCUCCCGCUCCACUGCCGUCGCUCCGUCGUGACCCCCUCGGACACCUGAUACUUUAACUCUGGCAUCAGAUGUCACCGCGAUUGAGGCACAUUGCGGGUUUUGUUCAGCRGAACAGAGCGAGCCCUGUGCUCCCCUUCGGUUCGGAAAUCUUCUCGGCAGCCUCAGCCUCUUCCCAAGCAGCGGGAAAAUCCCUCCCUGCCGCUCCCGGGCGCAGACUUCCUGGUUCGCGCAUCAGGGAUCACAAAGCACGACCCGGCCCCGGCCCCGACCCCGGCCCC